UCUCAUCUACUGCUGACAGUCUGACGGGA
This 29-nucleotide non-coding RNA is filed under the name Rattus norvegicus (Norway rat). The record is from RNAcentral. Lineage: Eukaryota; Metazoa; Chordata; Mammalia; Rodentia; Muridae.